RNA transcript from Quercus lobata, 2121 nucleotides. It is a transcript of the gene named receptor-like protein 38, with no coding region annotated. The transcript is spliced from 3 exons. The record is from RefSeq and is a predicted model, not a curated record. NCBI's taxonomy places the organism in Eukaryota, Viridiplantae, Streptophyta, Magnoliopsida, Fagales, Fagaceae.
ACAUUUUUAAGUCAUUUGAUCAUGAGUGGUUGCAAUUUUAGUGAGCCGAUUCCUACCUGGCUUGGUAACCUUACACAACUCACCAUCUUGAAUUUAUCAGCUAACAAUUUUGGUGGUCAGAUGCCGUCAUCCCUUUCAAAUCUCAAGGAACUCUCCUCCUUGGAUCUACGAGCCAAUAAUCUUAGUGGAACAUUACCAAUGUGGCUUGGGAACCUCACGAGACUUACUAAAAUUUUACUUGGAACUAACAGCUUCACUGGCCAACUCCCAUCAUCACUUUCAAACAUAAAGGAUCUCACUUUUGUUGGCCUUAGAUAUAACAACUUUGGAGGUAGGAUUCCUGAUUUUUUGACCAACCUCACAAAACUCACCUCAGUUUUCUUGUCUUUUAACCAACUCACUGGUCAAUUUGGUGAAUUUCAAUUUAGCAAUUCACUGGAGGUUCUAGCAUUGGAUAAUAACAGGUUCUAUGGCUCUAUUCCCAAGUCUAUCUCUAAUCUUACAAAUCUUAACUAUCUUGAUCUUUCAUCAAAUGACUUGACUAGCAUUGUGGACCUUGAUAUGUUCAAAAAUCUCAAAAAUCUUAAAACUGUUCUCUUUUCUUUUAAUCUACUACAUGGAAAGCUUCCUGCUGUACCAUCUUCCGUGAAUUCCUUUUUUAUGCAUAGAAAUAGAUUUAGUGGAGAGAUCCCAUAUACGGCUUGCAAUGCAACUUUCCUCACAAUCCUUGUGAUCAGUAAAAACAAUUUGCGAGGUACAAUCCCAUCAUGUUUGGGAAACAUCAGUAAUUUUCUCUCAGUAAUGGAUUUGCGAGGGAAUCACUUCCAUGGCACCAUUCCUGACACAUUUGCAAAAGGUAACAGGUUGAGAGCUCUUGGCUUGAAUGACAAUUACUUAGAAGGCACAUUACCAAAAUCUUUGGUCAACUGUAUAAAUUUGGAACUUCUAAACCUGGCAGAAAACAUGAUAAAUGAUUCAUUCCCUUAUUGGUUGGCAGCUCUUCCGAAGUUACAAGUUCUUAUCUUGAGGUCCAACAAAUUUUAUGGUCCCAUUGGAAACCAUAAGACUGGUGGGAUGUUUUUCCCUAAACUUCGGAUUCUUGACCUCUCUCACAAUGAUUUUAUUGGUAGUUUACCUACUCAAUUUUUUGAACAGUUGAAGGCUAUAAUGACAACCAAUGAAAGUGAAGAUGGUCCAAAAUAUAUAGGGGAAUACUCUUAAGUCUGGCUUUUCAGGGACGGAUCUUACAGAAAACUAUUUAGUAACGGUGUACCCAGACUCCAUCAUAAUAACAAUGAAGGGGAAUGAACUUGCCCUAAGUCAAAUCUUGACUAUCUUGACUAUCAUCGAUCUAUCAAGGAACAUGUUCUAUGGAAAAAUUCCAAAAACCCUUGGAACCUUGAAGUUUCUUCGAGUGCUCAACCUUUCCCAUAAUAGUCUAUCCAACCAUAUCCCAUCAUCAUUGGCAAAUUUGACAGCACUUGAAUCCUUAGAUCUCUCUUCAAAUAUGCUCACUGGAGAAAUUCCAAUGCAGUUAACAAGUCUAACAUUUUUGGCUGUGUUAAACCUUUCACAAAACCUGCUUACUGGACCUAUACCUCAAGAAAAACAAUUUGGUACAUUUCAAAACACCUCAUAUGAUGGGAACCCAGGACUGUGUGGAUUUCCCUUGUCAAUGAAAUGUAGCAGUGAUGAGUCACCACCACCAAGACCAUCAAUAAUCCAAGAAGACAAUGGUUCAAUGUUCGCAAUAGGAUUUGGUUGGAAGGCUGUGUUAAUUGGCUAUGGAUGUGGCUUGGUGUUUGGAUUAGCUGUGGGAUAUGUUGCUUUUAAAACAGAAAAACCUCAUUGGCUUGUAAGGUUUGUUGAAGGAGAACAAAAUGGAAAGACGAGAAGGCCUAAUAAUAAAAGACUUGGGCGAAGAAGAACUUAAUGCAUUCAAGGGUGGUCUUAGGUAAGUAGAAAGUGACGAAGACCCUAUUCUCUACUAGCAGUGAGAGAAGAUUGUGAGCCUUUAAAUUACAUCAGGGCAUUCGAAUGGUGGCUAAUGAGGGGUGGAACAUGCUUGAAUGAAUUAAGGUGCUAUUUUCUUCUUCUUAGGAUAGAUAUGUUCAACUUUUA